RNAcentral lists this ribosomal RNA (99 nucleotides) under Vibrio parahaemolyticus. RNAcentral describes it as "partial 16S ribosomal RNA". It matches the Rfam family "Bacterial small subunit ribosomal RNA", at positions 1 to 90 of the family's 1533-position model. Lineage: Bacteria; Pseudomonadati; Pseudomonadota; Gammaproteobacteria; Vibrionales; Vibrionaceae. The record is from RNAcentral.
CUUAAAUUGAAGAGUUUGAUCAUGGCUCAGAUUGAACGCUGGCGGCAGGCCUAACACAUGCAAGUCGAGCGGAAACGAGUUAUCAGAACCUUCGGGGAA